Molecule: unclassified non-coding RNA, 1526 nt
Filed under: Neodiprion pinetum (white pine sawfly)
Lineage: Eukaryota; Metazoa; Arthropoda; Insecta; Hymenoptera; Diprionidae
Description: uncharacterized LOC124212872, transcript variant X4
Source: RNAcentral
AAACAAGAUUCGGGGUAUUCCAAGGGUGUUAAUAAACCUUCGCGAAGGGAGAACCGGCGCUUUUCAAGCUUUUCGUCGUACAACUUGACUUGUUUUUUGUACUCUCGGUAAUUGUUUAACGCUCCCUCGUUUUAUCCCGACCGUGUUGUGCGGUUUUCUUUUUCCUUAUUCACGGCAACUUUGCGCGAAACUUUGCGAAGCUGUUCUCAGCAGAAGCCAAAAUCUCUGGGGGUCGUCGAGCUCCGACACUUGUAAAAAGACGCUUAGAGCAAUUUACUUCCGGCGAAAGAUUCUCACCCGUUUUACAUUUAUUCGACAGUCCCCUCGAGAUUUACCGGGAUUAGAUAAAACUUGAAAGAAACAUUUCCUCCGGUUAAAUUGAGCGACGACACUGAACACCGCGUGGCAAAGAUCAGCGCUCCGCAUAUAGGCCGGCAUCGAGCCGACGGUAAAGCUCGCAACGGCGUGCGUCGCCUUGACGAAAAUAUCGCCGAAAGCGAGACGGAAGAAAAGAGAGAGAAAGAGAAACAGAGAGUGGACGACGUGUUCGGAAAGCUCGUCUAUGUCUGUACAAUGUUUGCAUUAGACAGUGUGCUUUCAAUGUUGAACCGGUGUGCGUUUCGUCAAGUUUAAAAGCCGCAAGCUCCCGAUUUCGAUUACCAGUCACGCUUAUACGCGUUUAAAAAAUGUAACUUGACCGGGUUUUUUUUCCUCACGAUCUUUUAAUCCGCUUCAACCAGUCAGCGCGCUGCAUGAGAAUUUGCAAGAUUUCACAAAUAGAACGGGUAUUGGCAAUGAAAGUAUUCAUAGCAUGGAAACGGUACGGACGACGUAUCUUUGCGUCUUCUCCCGAUGUCAAGCGGCGACGAGAUUUAGCCACGUUCUAUUCUACGCUUGACGUGCGGUUGCGGUAAGAGUGUGCGAGGGUCUGGAAAUAACUCUAGGGAUUAAAAGAUGGCGACGUGGAGAACCGGCUGGAGACAAAUGAGAGAGUAACAAAUGAAGAUACAGAAACAGCAAUAACGUUUUAAAACGAAAAGCUCGGUUUUUCCGAGGUGACUAAAUGUCUCGAGAGUGAAAAAUUUUUCGUCGUUGUGAACUAAUCGCGACAAUGAAUUGGCGAUCGGCAAGAGAGAACGUUUGGAGGUCACCGUUGAACUGGUGAGAGAGAGAGAAAAGUAGAUGGUCGGAGGCGGAGAGAAUGGUAGAAACAAGUGCGUGUAGAGUGAUAAACCGUUAACGUCAUCGAUUCUAGUCGAGUGAUCCGAUCGUCUGUCGGUUCUGCUGCAGCUCCUGAUUUAUCAACAAGGCGGACCUGCUUCCGUGACGAGUUUCCUUUCCUUACAUCGGCACCCCGACAUCGUGUACCAGAAAGAACACCACCACUAGAGUAUGCCAAACACUAUCACCUGGUUUCAGAAAGCUGCGGCAACAACGCCGGGAGAAGUGUAUACGAGUGGGAUGAGGCAAAAAAAAAAAAAAAAUCAACGGAGCUUCAACGAGGGAAGUUUAGGCGACUUUUUUUA